RNAcentral lists this non-coding RNA (27 nucleotides) under Bombyx mori (domestic silkworm). Lineage: Eukaryota; Metazoa; Arthropoda; Insecta; Lepidoptera; Bombycidae. The record is from RNAcentral.
UUGGUCUGGGCAAAGCGAUCGACGCAC